This 466-nucleotide ribosomal RNA is filed under the name uncultured bacterium. RNAcentral's name for it is "bacterial SSU rRNA". It matches the Rfam family "Bacterial small subunit ribosomal RNA", at positions 339 to 797 of the family's 1533-position model. The record is from RNAcentral.
UUACGGGAGGCAGCAGUGGGGAAUUUUGGACAAUGGGGGCAACCCUGAUCCAGCCAUUCCGCGUGAGUGAAGAAGGCCUUCGGGUUGUAAAGCUCUUUUGUCCGGAGCGAAACGGCUACGACUAAUACUCGUGGCUACUGACGGUACCGGAAGAAUAAGCACCGGCUAACUACGUGCCAGCAGCCGCGGUAAUACGUAGGGUGCGAGCGUUAAUCGGAAUUACUGGGCGUAAAGCGUGCGCAGGCGGUUUUGUAAGCCAGAUGUGAAAUCCCCGGGCUCAACCUGGGAAUGGCAUUUGGGACUGCAAGGCUUGAGUGCGGCAGAGGAGACUGGAAUUCCUGGUGUAGCAGUGAAAUGCGUAGAUAUCAGGAGGAAUACCGAUGGCGAAGGCAGGUCUCUGGGCUGACACUGACGCUCAUGCACGAAAGCGUGGGGAGCAAACAGGAUUAGAAACCCGAGUAGUCCC